Molecule: long non-coding RNA, 1876 nt
Filed under: Pan troglodytes (chimpanzee)
Lineage: Eukaryota; Metazoa; Chordata; Mammalia; Primates; Hominidae
Description: long non-coding RNA NONPTRT000345
Source: RNAcentral
AUUGACAUGUGGUCUGCAGGUGUCAUAUUUCUUUCUUUGCUUAGUGGACGAUAUCCAUUUUAUAAAGCAAGUGAUGAUUUAACUGCUUUGGCCCAAAUUAUGACAAUUAGGGGAUCCAGAGAAACUAUCCAAGCUGCUAAAACUUUUGGGAAAUCAAUAUUAUGUAGCAAAGAAGUUCCAGCACAAGACUUGAGAAAACUCUGUGAGAGACUCAGGGGUAUGGAUUCUAGCACUCCCAAGUUAACAAGUGAUAUACAAGGGCAUGCUUCUCAUCAACCAGCUAUUUCAGAGAAGACUGACCAUAAAGCUUCUUGCCUCGUUCAAACACCUCCAGGACAAUACUCAGGGAAUUCAUUUAAAAAGGGGGAUAGUAAUAGCUGUGAGCAUUGUUUUGAUGAGUAUAAUACCAAUUUAGAAGGCUGGAAUGAGGUACCUGAUGAAGCUUAUGACCUGCUUGAUAAACUUCUAGAUCUAAAUCCAGCUUCAAGAAUAACAGCAGAAGAAGCUUUGUUGCAUCCAUUUUUUAAAGAUAUGAGCUUGUGAUAAUGGAUCUUCAUUUAAUGUUUACUGUUAUGAGGUAGAAUAAAAAAAGAAUACUUUGUAAUAGCCACAAGUUCUUGUUUAGAGACCAGAGCAGGAUUAAUAAUUUAUUUUAACAUUUUAGUGUUUGGUGGCACAUUCUAAAAUAUAGAUUAAGAAUACUUAAAAUGCCUGGGAUAAUUCUUGGGACUAACAACAUGAUCUUCUUUGAGUUAAACCUACCUAAGUAGAUUUUAGGUGGGUUCCUAUUAGGUCAGAUUUUUAGCUUCCCUAAUUACCUUUCACUGACAUAUACAGAAAAAGGAGCAGUUUUAGUUUUAAUUAAUUAAAAUUAACAUGUGAUGAGGAUUAAAUGAAUCAAAAGACUUAAUUUGUAGAUUCUUUUAGAGUUAUGAGCUAGGUAUAGUUUGGGGAAACUCAACCUGGUGCUGGUGCUGGUGCUCUUAACAAUUUUGUAAGUAAAGAAGAUAAUUUCCUUUUCUAGAGGUACAUAUUAGGCCUUUUAUGAACACUAAAACAAUGAGGAAAUGUUGGUCAUGGGGCAAAGUAUCACUUAAAAUUGAAUUCUUCCAUUUUUAAAAAACACUUCAUGAAAGCAUUCUGGUGUGAAUUGCCAUUUUUUUCUUACUGGCUUCUCGAUUUUCUUCCUUCUCUGCCCCUACCUAAAACAUUCUCCUCGGAAAUUACAUGGUGCUGACCACAAAGUUUCUGGAUGUUUUAUUAAAUAUUGCACGUGUUUACAGUUGGGAAUUUAAAAUAAUACAUACACUGGUUGAUAAAGGGAAGCUGCAGGACCAAGGUGAAGAUUGAUAGUCCAAAUGCUUUUCUUUUUUGAGUUGUAUAUUUUUUCACACCAUCUUAGAUAUAAUUAGGUAGCUGCUGAAAGGAAAAGUGAAUACAGAAUUGACGGUAUUAUUGGAGAUUUUUCCUCUGCGUAGAGCCAUCCAGAUCUCUGUAUCCUGUUUUGACUAAGUCUUAGGUGGGUUGGGAAGACAGAUAAUGAAGUAGGCAAAGAGAAAAGGACCCAAGAUAGAGGUUUAUAUUCAGAAAUGAUAUAUAUCAAUGACAGCAUAUCAAACUUCCUAUGGGAAAAAGUCUGGUGGGUGGUCAGCUGACAGAUUUCCCAUUUAGUAGUCAUAGAAUACAGAAAUAGUUUAGGGACAUGUAUUCAUUUUGUUAUUUUGAGCAUUGAUAGGUCAGUAUAUCUACCUAAUCUGUUUGGUAAGUAUAGGAUAUAUAAACCAUUACCAUUGAUCUGUCUUAUGCCAUAAUCUUAAAAAAAAAUUGAAUGCUCUUGAAUUUGUAUAUUCAAUAAAGUUAUCCUUUUAUAUUUUUU